RNAcentral lists this non-coding RNA (95 nucleotides) under uncultured Roseateles sp. Lineage: Bacteria; Pseudomonadati; Pseudomonadota; Betaproteobacteria; Burkholderiales; Sphaerotilaceae. The record is from RNAcentral.
CAGCGUUCGCGGGUCAGCGUCAGGCAGAUCAGACCACGGCCAUACUUGGCCAUGAAGUUGAUGGCUUCGGGUGUGACAUGCUCGGCCGCCAAAAC